RNAcentral lists this ribosomal RNA (301 nucleotides) under uncultured bacterium. Its description in RNAcentral is "partial 16S ribosomal RNA". It matches the Rfam family "Bacterial small subunit ribosomal RNA", at positions 509 to 807 of the family's 1533-position model. The record is from RNAcentral.
CAGCAGCCACGGGAAUACAGAGGGUGCAAGCGUUAAUCGGAAUUACUGGGCGUAAAGCGCGCGUAGGUGGUUUGUUAAGUUGGAUGUGAAAUCCCCGGGCUCAACCUGGGAACUGCAUCCAAAACUGGCAAGCUAGAGUAUGGUAGAGGGUGGUGGAAUUUCCUGUGUAGCGGUGAAAUGCGUAGAUAUAGGAAGGAACACCAGUGGCGAAGGCGACCACCUGGACUGAUACUGACACUGAGGUGCGAAAGCGUGGGGAGCAAACAGGAUUAGAUACCCCAGUAGUCCCUGUCUCUUAUAC